GAUGAACGCUGGCGGCGUGCCUAAUACAUGCAAGUCGAGCGAACAGACGAGGAGCUUGCUCCUCUGACGUUAGCGGCGGACGGGUGAGUAACACGUGGAUAACCUACCUAUAAGACUGAGAUAACUUCGGGAAACCUGAGCUAAUACCGGAUAACAUGUUGAACCGCAUGGUUCAACAGUGAAAGACGGUUUUGCUGUCACUUAGAGAUGGAUCCGCGUCGCAUUAGCUAGUUGGUAAGGUAACGGAUUACCAAGGCUACGAUGCGUAGCCGACCUGAGAGGGUGAUCAGCCACACUGGAACUGAGACACGGUCCAGACUCCUACGGGAGGCAGCAGUAGGGAAUCUUCCGCAAUGGGCGAAAGCCUGACCCAGCCACGCCGCGUGAGUGAAGAAGGUCUUCGGAUCGUAAAGCUCUGUUAUUAGGGAAGAACAAAAGUGUAAGUAAACAUGCCCGUCUUGACGGUACCAACACAGAAAGCAACGGCUAACUACGUG
Molecule: ribosomal RNA, 497 nt
Filed under: uncultured bacterium
Lineage: Bacteria
Description: partial 16S ribosomal RNA
Rfam family: Bacterial small subunit ribosomal RNA
Source: RNAcentral